RNAcentral lists this transfer RNA (71 nucleotides) under Homo sapiens (human). RNAcentral's name for it is "tRNA-Arg-CCT-8-1". Lineage: Eukaryota; Metazoa; Chordata; Mammalia; Primates; Hominidae. The record is from RNAcentral.
GGAUUUGUGGUCCAGUGGUAGAAUUCUCACCGCCUGCAUAGGAGACCCUGGUUUAAUUCCUGGCCAAUGCA